CGGGGCUGGAGAGAUGGCUCAGCGGUUAA
This 29-nucleotide non-coding RNA is filed under the name Cricetulus griseus (Chinese hamster). RNAcentral also lists the same sequence under 1 other name. Lineage: Eukaryota; Metazoa; Chordata; Mammalia; Rodentia; Cricetidae. The record is from RNAcentral.